AUUGAACGCUGGCGGCAGGCUUAACACAUGCAAGUCGAGCGGGGUGAUGGUGCUUGCACUAUCACUUAGCGGCGGACGGGUGAGUAAUGCUUAGGAAUCUGCCUAUUAGUGGGGGACAACAUCUCGAAAGGGAUGCUAAUACCGCAUACGUCCUACGGGAGAAAGCAGGGGAUCACUUGUGACCUUGCACUAAUAGAUGAGCCUAAGUCGGAUUAGCUAGUUGGUGGGGUAAAGGCCUACCAAGGCGACGAUCUGUAGCGGGUCUGAGAGGAUGAUGCGCCACACUGGGACUGAGACACGGCCCAGACUCCUACGGGAGGCAGCAGUGGGGAAUAUUGGACAAUGGGGGGAACCCUGAUCCAGCCAUGCCGCGUGUGUGAAGAAGGCCUUAUGGUUGUAAAGCACUUUAAGCGAGGAGGAGGCUCUUUUGGUUAAUACCCAAGAUGAGUGGACGUUACUCGCAGAAUAAGCACCGGCUAACUCUGUGCCAGCAGCCGCCGUAA
RNAcentral lists this ribosomal RNA (503 nucleotides) under uncultured bacterium. RNAcentral describes it as "partial 16S ribosomal RNA". It matches the Rfam family "Bacterial small subunit ribosomal RNA", at positions 30 to 523 of the family's 1533-position model. The record is from RNAcentral.